Syngnathus acus (greater pipefish) is the source of this 219-nucleotide long non-coding RNA. RefSeq lists it as uncharacterized. Lineage: Eukaryota; Metazoa; Chordata; Actinopteri; Syngnathiformes; Syngnathidae. The record is from RefSeq and is a predicted model, not a curated record. The transcript has 2 exons.
CUAGUGGAUGUCUCUGGACGCCAUUUUGAAGCAUCGGAGGCGGCAGAGCCAAUCGCAUCAGAGCCAGCGAGACCAACCGCAUCAGAGUCACGUGCUACCAUUGAGACCAAUCAAGUCACGCCCCACGCCGACCGACAGGAACAUCCACAGACACAGAAUUGGUGGACGCUUUAUCUGCAUACGAAGGCGUGAACCAUCCUCACGAGUCGACAAACAAAG